RNAcentral lists this ribosomal RNA (630 nucleotides) under Synechocystis sp. AHZ-HB-MK. RNAcentral's name for it is "bacterial SSU rRNA". It matches the Rfam family "Bacterial small subunit ribosomal RNA", at positions 138 to 810 of the family's 1533-position model. Lineage: Bacteria; Bacillati; Cyanobacteriota; Cyanophyceae; Synechococcales; Merismopediaceae. The record is from RNAcentral.
UGGGGACACAGUUGGAAACGACUGCUAAUACCCAAUGUGCCGAAAGGUGAAAGAUUUAUCGUCUGAAGAUGGGCUCGCGUGCUGAUUAGCUAGAUGGUGGGGUAAGAGCCUACCAUGGCAACGAUCAGUAGCUGGUCUGAGAGGAUGAGCAGCCACACUGGGACUGAGACACGGCCCAGACUCCUACGGGAGGCAGCAGUGGGGAAUUUUCCGCAAUGGGCGAAAGCCUGACGGAGCAAUACCGCGUGAGGGAGGAAGGUCCUUGGAUUGUAAACCUCUUUUAUCAGGGAAGAAGUUCUGACGGUACCUGAUGAAUAAGCAUCGGCUAACUCCGUGCCAGCAGCCGCGGUAAUACGGAGGAUGCAAGCGUUAUCCGGAAUUAUUGGGCGUAAAGCGUCCGUAGGUGGUUAUGCAAGUCUGCCGUUAAAGAAUGGAGCUUAACUCCAUAGGAGCGGUGGAAACUGCAAGACUAGAGUACAGUAGGGGUAGCAGGAAUUCCCAGUGUAGCGGUGAAAUGCGUAGAUAUAGGGAAGAUCAUCGGUGGCGACGCGUGCUACUGGGCUGAAACUGACACUGAGGGACGACAGCUGGGAUAGCAAGUGGGGAUACGAUACCCCCGUUGAAAAAAAA